Molecule: unclassified non-coding RNA, 319 nt
Filed under: Hevea brasiliensis (rubber tree)
Lineage: Eukaryota; Viridiplantae; Streptophyta; Magnoliopsida; Malpighiales; Euphorbiaceae
Source: RNAcentral
GGUGGUGAACAAGCUUGAGAUCCACUACCAGGACGCUGUCCCAACUGCUGACCAGAAGCUUGAACAGAAGGUUGGGCACGAUUUUGGACAGUACUCCGNNNNNNNNNNNAACAGAAUGGGGCUGUGUUGGAGAUGAGACUCUGUUGACUUGAUUUUGCACAGGGGCUGACUGAUAAGUCAUCUGACUUGAAAUAGUUACACCCCUUCCUUGNNNUUGAGAGGAUUGCAUGCUAUUGACCAAUGAAGAUCCAGGUGACAUUUGAAUAGUGUUCAAGGACUUACCAGCUGUUGAAGGAACAGAAUCAUCAACAUAAAGUUU